This 34-nucleotide transfer RNA is filed under the name Tursiops aduncus (Indo-pacific bottlenose dolphin). Its description in RNAcentral is "tRNA-Pro". Lineage: Eukaryota; Metazoa; Chordata; Mammalia; Artiodactyla; Delphinidae. The record is from RNAcentral.
GUGUUGGUGGUGAGGUUUAAUGUCUCUUCCUUGA